RNAcentral lists this ribosomal RNA (1029 nucleotides) under plant metagenome. RNAcentral's name for it is "bacterial LSU rRNA". It matches the Rfam family "Bacterial large subunit ribosomal RNA", at positions 1422 to 2442 of the family's 2925-position model. The record is from RNAcentral.
CCAACAGGUUGAUAUUCCUGUACCACCUCCCCGCCGUUUGAGUAAUGGGGGGACGCAGUAGGAUAGGGUAAGCGCGCUGCUGGAUAUGCGCGUUCAAGCAGUUAGGCUGAUGAGUAGGCAAAUCCGCUCAUCAUGAAGGCUGAGCUGUGAUGACGAGGGAAUUAUAGUACCGAAGUUCCUGAUUCCACACUGCCAAGAAAAGCCUCUAGCGAGGCGGGAGGUGCCCGUACCGCAAACCGACACAGGUAGGCGAGGAGAGAAUCCUAAGGUGAUCGAGAGAACUCUCGUUAAGGAACUCGGCAAAAUGACCCCGUAACUUCGGGAGAAGGGGUGCCCCGGUAGUGUGAAUAGCACGAGGGGGCCGCAGUGAAAAGGCCCAAGCGACUGUUUAGCAAAAACACAGGUCUCUGCGAAGCCGCAAGGCGAAGUAUAGGGGCUGACGCCUGCCCGGUGCUGGAAGGUUAAGAGGAGGGGUUAUCCUUUGGGAGAAGCUCUGAAUCGAAGCCCCAGUAAACGGCGGCCGUAACUAUAACGGUCCUAAGGUAGCGAAAUUCCUUGUCGGGUAAGUUCCGACCUGCACGAAUGGCGUAACGACUUCCCCGCUGUCUCCAACGCAGACUCAGUGAAAUUGAAUUCCCCGUGAAGAUGCGGGGUUCCUGCGGUCAGACGGAAAGACCCCGUGCACCUUUACUGUAGCUUUGCGCUGGCCUUCGUGUCGGCAUGUGUAGGAUAGGUGGUAGGCUUUGAAGUUCGGGCGCCAGCCUGGAUGGAGCCACCCUUGAAAUACCACCCUUGACGACAUGGUGGUCUAACCGCGCGCCCUGAUCGGGCGCCGGGACCGCGCAUGGCAGGCAGUUUGACUGGGGCGGUCGCCUCCCAAAGCGUAACGGAGGCGUACGAAGGUGGGCUCAGAGCGGUCGGAAAUCGCUCGUUGCGUGCAAUGGCAUAAGCCCGCUUGACUGCGAGACGGACAGGUCGAGCAGAGACGAAAGUCGGUCAUAGUGAUCCGGUGGUCCCGCGUGGAAGGGC